Molecule: signal recognition particle RNA, 299 nt
Filed under: Nomascus leucogenys (northern white-cheeked gibbon)
Lineage: Eukaryota; Metazoa; Chordata; Mammalia; Primates; Hylobatidae
Description: Metazoan signal recognition particle RNA (ENSNLEG00000030359.1)
Rfam family: Metazoan signal recognition particle RNA
About the family: The signal recognition particle (SRP) is a universally conserved ribonucleoprotein. It is involved in the co-translational targeting of proteins to membranes.
Source: RNAcentral
GCUGGGCACCAUGGCACGUGCCUGUGGUCCCAGCUACUGGGGAUACUGAGGCCGGAGGACUGCUAGAGACCAGGAGUUCUGAGCUGCAAUGCACUGUGUCUAUCGGGUGUCCGCACUAAGUUUGGCAUCGGUGUGGUGGCCUCCUGGGAGCGGGGGACCACCAUGUUGCCUAAGGAGAGGUGAACUGGUCCAGGUUGGAAAUGGAGCAGGUUGAAACUCCCAUGCUGAUCAGCAGUGGGAUCACGCCUGUGAAUAGCCACUGCACUCCAGCCUGGGCAACACAGUGAGACACUGCCUCU